GACGAACGCUGGCGGCGUGCGUAACACAUGCAAGUCGAACGAGAGAGUGAGAGAAGCUUGCUUUUCUUAUGAUCGAGUGGCAAACGGGUGAGUAACGCGUAAACAACCUGCCCCGCAGAUGGGGACAACAGCUGGAAACGGCUGCUAAUACCGAAUACGGUCCUCUUAGCGCAUGGUAAGAGGAAGAAAGGGUGGCCUCUGGAACAAGCUACCGCUGUGGGAGGGGUUUGCGUCUGAUUAGCUGGUUGGAGGGGUAACGGCCCACCAAGGCGACGAUCAGUAGCCGGUCUGAGAGGAUGAACGGCCACAUUGGAACUGAGACACGGUCCAGACUCCUACGGGAGGCAGCAGUGGGGAAUCUUCCGCAAUGGGCGAAAGCCUGACGGAGCAACGCCGCGUGAGUGAAGACGGCCUUCGGGUUGUAAAGCUCUGUUAUAGGGGACGAACGGCCGGGUAGCGAAGAGGUACCCGGCAGACGGUAC
RNAcentral lists this ribosomal RNA (482 nucleotides) under Megasphaera geminata. Its description in RNAcentral is "bacterial SSU rRNA". It matches the Rfam family "Bacterial small subunit ribosomal RNA", at positions 28 to 478 of the family's 1533-position model. The record is from RNAcentral. Lineage: Bacteria; Bacillati; Bacillota; Negativicutes; Veillonellales; Veillonellaceae.